This 253-nucleotide ribosomal RNA is filed under the name uncultured bacterium. RNAcentral's name for it is "partial 16S ribosomal RNA". It matches the Rfam family "Bacterial small subunit ribosomal RNA", at positions 524 to 776 of the family's 1533-position model. The record is from RNAcentral.
UACGGGGGGGGCAAGCGUUGUUCGGAAUUACUGGGGGUAAAGGGCUUGUAGGUGGCCAACUAAGUCAGACGUGAAAUCCCUCAGCUUAACUGGGGAACUGCGUCUGAUACUGGAUGGCUUGAGUUUGGGAGAGGGAUGCGGAAUUCCAGGUGUAGCGGUGAAAUGCGUAGAUAUCUGGAGGAACACCGGUGGCGAAGGCGGCAUCCUGGACCAACACUGACACUGAGGAGCGAAAGCCAGGGGAGCAAACGGG